This 460-nucleotide ribosomal RNA is filed under the name uncultured bacterium. RNAcentral's name for it is "partial 16S ribosomal RNA". It matches the Rfam family "Bacterial small subunit ribosomal RNA", at positions 338 to 795 of the family's 1533-position model. The record is from RNAcentral.
CCUACGGGCGGCAGCAGUGAGGAAUAUUGGUCAUUGGUCGGAAGGCUGAACCAGCCAUGCCGCGUGAAGGUCAGUGCCCUAUGGGCGUUAAACUUCUUUUGUGCGGGAGCAAUAAUGGUCACGUGUGGCCAGACGAGAGUACCGUACGAAUAAGCAUCGGCUAACUCCGUGCCAGCAGCCGCGGUAAUACGGGGGAUGCAAGCGUUAUCCGGAGUUAUUGGGUUUAAAGGGUGCGUAGGCUGUGAGGUAAGUCAGCGGGGAAAUGCCCCCGCUCAACGGGGUGAAGUGCCAUUGAUACUGGCUUGCUGGAAUGCGGAUGCCGUGGGAGGAAUGUGUGGUGUAGCGGUGAAAUGCAUAGAUAUCACACAGAACACCGAUUGCGAAGGCAUCUCACGAAUCCGCGAUUGACGCUGAUGCACGAAAGCGUGGGUAUCAAACAGGAUUAGAUACCCGAGUAGUC